GGAGGGUAUAGCUCAGUGGUAGAGCACAUGCUUAGCAUGCAUGAGGUCCUGGGUUCAAUCCCCAGUGCUUCCA
RNAcentral lists this transfer RNA (73 nucleotides) under Vicugna pacos (alpaca). RNAcentral describes it as "tRNA-Ala (AGC) (tRNA-Ala-AGC-469-1)". It matches the Rfam family "tRNA". From Rfam's summary of the family: Transfer RNA (tRNA) molecules are approximately 80 nucleotides in length. Their secondary structure includes four short double-helical elements and three loops (D, anti-codon, and T loops). Lineage: Eukaryota; Metazoa; Chordata; Mammalia; Artiodactyla; Camelidae. The record is from RNAcentral.